Molecule: ribosomal RNA, 495 nt
Filed under: uncultured bacterium
Lineage: Bacteria
Description: partial 16S ribosomal RNA
Rfam family: Bacterial small subunit ribosomal RNA
Source: RNAcentral
GACGAACGCUGGCGGCGUGCCUAAUACAUGCAAGUAGAACGCUGAAGGAGGAGCUUGCUUCUCUGGAUGAGUUGCGAACGGGUGAGUAACGCGUAGGUAACCUGCCUGGUAGCGGGGGAUAACUAUUGGAAACGAUAGCUAAUACCGCAUAAGAGUAGAUGUUGCAUGACAUUUGCUUAAAAGGUGCAAUUGCAUCACUACCAGAUGGACCUGCGUUGUAUUAGCUAGUUGGUGGGGUAACGGCUCACCAAGGCGACGAUACAUAGCCGACCUGAGAGGGUGAUCGGCCACACUGGGACUGAGACACGGCCCAGACUCCUACGGGAGGCAGCAGUAGGGAAUCUUCGGCAAUGGACGGAAGUCUGACCGAGCAACGCCGCGUAAGUGAAGAAGGUUUUCGGAUCGUAAAGCUCUGUUGUAAGAGAAGAACGAGUGUGAGAGUGGAAAGUUCACACUGUGACGGUAUCUUACCAGAAAGGGACGGCUAACUACGUG